GCAUNCCCGGAGCUUUANCAUGCAAGUCGAACGGCGGCACGAGAGAGCCUGCUCUCUUGGUGGCGAGUGGCGGACGGGUGAGUAAUAUAUCGGAACGUGCCUAGUAGCGGGGGAUAACUACUCGAAAGAGUGGCUAAUACCGCAUACGCCCUACGGGGGAAAGGGGGGGAUCGCAAGACCUCUCACUAUUAGAGCGGCCGAUAUCGGAUUAGCUAGUUGGUGGGGUAAAGGCUCACCAAGGCAACGAUCCGUAGCUGGUUUGAGAGGACGACCAGCCACACUGGGACUGAGACACGGCCCAGACUCCUACGGGAGGCAGCAGUGGGGAAUUUUGGACAAUGGGGGAAACCCUGAUCCAGCCAUCCCGCGUGUAUGAUGAAGGCCUUCGGGUUGUAAAGUACUUUUGGCAGAGAAGAAAAGGUACCUCCUAAUACGAGGUACUGCUGACGGUAUCUGCAGAAUAAGCACCGGCUAACUACGUGCCAGCAGCCGCGGUAAUACGUAGGGUGCAAGCGUUAAUCGGAAUUACUGGGCGUAAAGCGUGUGUAGGCGGUUCGGAAAGAAAGAUGUGAAAUCCCAGGGCUUAACCUUGGAACUGCAUUUUUAACUGCCGAGCUAGAGUAUGUCAGAGGGGGGUAGAAUUCCACGUGUAGCAGUGAAAUGCGUAGAUAUGUGGAGGAAUACCGAUGGCGAAGGCAGCCCCCUGGGAUAAUACUGACGCUCAGACACGAAAGCGUGGGGAGCAAACAGGAUUAGAUACCUGGUAGUCCACGCCCUAAACGAUGUCAACUAGCUGUUGGGGCCGUUAGGCCUUAGUAGCGCAGCUAACGCGUGAAGUUGACCGCCUGGGGAGUACGGUCGCAAGAUUAAAACUCAAAGGAAUUGACGGGGACCCGCACAAGCGGUGGAUGAUGUGGAUUAAUUCGAUGCAACGCGAAAACCUUACCU
RNAcentral lists this ribosomal RNA (948 nucleotides) under uncultured bacterium. RNAcentral's name for it is "bacterial SSU rRNA". It matches the Rfam family "Bacterial small subunit ribosomal RNA", at positions 35 to 976 of the family's 1533-position model. The record is from RNAcentral.